AUACCAGCACCCCGAGUGGUCGGGACGAUUAUAGGGCCUAAAGCAUCCGUAGCCGGUGUAGCAAGUCCUCCGUUAAACCCACUUGCUCAACAAGUGGGCUGCGGAGGAUACUGCUACACUAGGGGGCGGGAGAGGCGAGGGGUAUUCCACGGGUAGGGGUAAAAUCCUCUGAUCCGUGGAGGACCACCAGUGGCGAAGGCGCCUCGCCAGAACGCGCCCGACGGUGAGGGAUGAAAGCUGGGGGAGCAAACCGGAUUAGAAACCCUAGUAGUCC
Molecule: ribosomal RNA, 274 nt
Filed under: uncultured bacterium
Lineage: Bacteria
Description: partial 16S ribosomal RNA
Rfam family: Archaeal small subunit ribosomal RNA
Source: RNAcentral